GAUGAACGCUAGCGGCAGGCUUAACACAUGCAAGUCGAGGGGCAGCACGUCUUCGGAUGGUGGCGACCGGCGCACGGGUGAGUAACGCGUAUGCAAUCUACCUUUUACAGGGGCAUAGCCCGGGGAAGCCCGGAUUAAUAUCCUAUAGUGCCAUUAUAUAGCAUUAUAUUAUGGUUAAAGUUUCGGCGGUAAAAGAUGAGCAUGCGUCCUAUUAGCUUGAUGGUAAGGUAACGGCUUACCAUGGCUAUGAUAGGUAGGGGUCCUGAGAGGGAGACCCCCCACACUGGUACUGAGACACGGACCAGACUCCUACGGGAGGCAGCAGUGAGGAAUAUUGGACAAUGGGCGCAAGCCUGAUCCAGCCAUGCCGCGUGCAGGAAGACGGCCCUAUGGGUUGUAAACUGCUUUUAUACGGGAAGAAACACCCCUUCGUGAAGGGACUUGACGGUACCGUAUGAAUAAGGAUCGGCUAACUCCGUGCCAGCAGCCGCGGUAAUACGGG
Molecule: ribosomal RNA, 502 nt
Filed under: uncultured bacterium
Lineage: Bacteria
Description: bacterial SSU rRNA
Rfam family: Bacterial small subunit ribosomal RNA
Source: RNAcentral